GACGAACGCUGGCGGCGUGCUUAACACAUGCAAGUCGAGCGGUAAGGCCCUUUCGGGGGUACACGAGCGGCGAACGGGUGAGUAACACGUGGGUGACCUGCCCUCAGCUCUGGGAUAAGCCUGGGAAACCGGGUCUAAUACCGGAUAUGACUCCAUGACGCACGUUGUGGGGUGGAAAGCCUUGUGCGGCUGAGGAUGGGCCCGCGGCCUAUCAGCUUGUUGGUGGGGUGAUGGCCUACCAAGGCGACGACGGGUAGCCGGCCUGAGAGGGCGACCGGCCACACUGGGACUGAGACACGGCCCAGACUCCUACGGGAGGCAGCAGUGGGGAAUCUUGCGCAAUGGGCGAAAGCCUGACGCAGCGACGCCGCGUGAGGGAUGACGGCCU
RNAcentral lists this ribosomal RNA (388 nucleotides) under uncultured bacterium. RNAcentral describes it as "bacterial SSU rRNA". It matches the Rfam family "Bacterial small subunit ribosomal RNA", at positions 28 to 417 of the family's 1533-position model. The record is from RNAcentral.